RNAcentral lists this unclassified non-coding RNA (720 nucleotides) under Ixodes pacificus (western blacklegged tick). Lineage: Eukaryota; Metazoa; Arthropoda; Arachnida; Ixodida; Ixodidae. The record is from RNAcentral.
AUCAUAUAUCAAGAGAGGAGAAUUGGUUUUCUACCUCGUUUUGACUGAUCGUGGGCAGCACGCAGUUUGUUACUUUCUUGCGAUGCGUUUUCUUGUUUCUCGGAGCAAGUACGGAGGUAGCAAAUGCACGAGUGGUGCGAUGCACGUGUGCGCUGAGCCAAGUCCUCUUCCUACCCGGUUUGUGUCGUCGAACACUGCAUAGAAAAACGAAACUCGAUGGCGACCGUUUUGUGGAAAAUCCCGAAACUUUCGCACGUUGAACGGCGCUUGUUGACGUCGGUGCGUUGGAAAAACGGAGAUUUGAAACGGUUUCUUUUCGAUCGAUUCUGUUUUUCUUUUGGGCGUGGAUGUCGUUCGAAAGACCUUUGGGGACGGAUGAUGGACGGAGUUGGUUGGGCGUUGAAACGCGGCGUCUGCAAUGAAUCUUGUGGCGUUGAUUUUGCAACACACUUCUUGCUGGGGAGAGAACGAGUACGUUUCUGGGAGGAAAGUGACUUUUUUUGCGUCGUAGCCUUCCGUCAGUCUAAGACCUUCGCGUCCCCGAUGAAUACUGGAGCCAUCCAGUAGGGGUAUGCCGUUGGAUUGCGCGCUUUCUUUUUUGUCGAAUCGAGAGCGAUGCAUAGCGUGUGUACAACUCAUUUUUUUUCGCCAUCCUUUUUUUGUUGGUAAGGAGGCGAAAUUUUUAUUGUGUUGGAAAGCGCAAAAAAAAAGAUUCGAUUG